GUGGGGAAUCUUGCGCAAUGGGCGAAAGCCUGACGCAGCCAUGCCGCGUGAAUGAUGAAGGUCUUAGGAUUGUAAAAUUCUUUCACCGGGGACGAUAAUGACGGUACCCGGAGAAGAAGCUCCGGCUAACUUCGUGCCAGCAGCCGCGGUAAUACGAAGGGGGCUAGCGUUGCUCGGAAUUACUGGGCGUAAAGGGCGCGUAGGCGGACAGCUUAGUCAGAGGUGAAAGCCCAGGGCUCAACCUUGGAAUUGCCUGUGAUACUGGCUGUCUUGAGUUUGGAAGAGGUGAGUGGAACUCCGAGUGUAGAGGUGAAAUUCGUAGAUAUUCGGAAGAACACCAGUGGCGAAGGCGACUCACUGGCCCAAUACUGACGCUGAGGCGCGAAAGCGUGGGGAGCAAACGGGAUUAGAUACCCUAGUAGUCC
RNAcentral lists this ribosomal RNA (425 nucleotides) under uncultured bacterium. RNAcentral describes it as "partial 16S ribosomal RNA". It matches the Rfam family "Bacterial small subunit ribosomal RNA", at positions 354 to 796 of the family's 1533-position model. The record is from RNAcentral.